CCGCCGGCGACCGGCGCACGGGUGGGUAACACGUAUGCAACCUGGCCGUGACAGAUGGAUAACCGGGAGAAAUCCCGCCUAAUACAACAUAAUGCCGGGAGGGGACAUCCCCUGCCGGUCAAAGGGGGCGACCCCGGUCAUGGAUGGGCAUGCGGCGCAUUAGGUAGUUGGUGGGGCAACGGCCCACCAAGCCGACGAUGCGUAGGGGUUCUGAGAGGAAGGUCCCCCACAUUGGAACUGAGACACGGUCCAAACUCCUACGGAAGGCAGCAG
Molecule: ribosomal RNA, 273 nt
Filed under: uncultured bacterium
Lineage: Bacteria
Description: partial 16S ribosomal RNA
Rfam family: Bacterial small subunit ribosomal RNA
Source: RNAcentral